UGCUAAACUCAAGCCUACUUGUAGGCCUGGUCUUGGGUGUUGUCCUCUCUGGAGGACACGCCUCAAAUGCAAUGGCGACACUGCCUGGCUUCAAGCGUCUAGGAAACUUCAUCGCUUCUGUCAGAUAAAUGUCUGCCUCUCAACCCCAAUUUUAUUUCUGGGUUGACCUCGGAUCAGGUAGGGAUACCCGCUGAACUUAA
This 200-nucleotide unclassified non-coding RNA is filed under the name soil metagenome. RNAcentral's name for it is "partial contains internal transcribed spacer 2 and large subunit ribosomal RNA". The record is from RNAcentral.